This is an RNA transcript of Cottoperca gobio, 1382 nucleotides long. It is a transcript of the gene named serine and arginine rich splicing factor 3b, with no coding region annotated. NCBI's taxonomy places the organism in Eukaryota, Metazoa, Chordata, Actinopteri, Perciformes, Bovichtidae. The record is from RefSeq and is a predicted model, not a curated record. The transcript has 7 exons.
AGCAGCAGCUCUGUCACCCCAGACUGACGAGCGUAUUUCCCGUCACGCCAUUUUCCAUCGGCGACCGAAAGGAACCGAACGAGCCAACCGGAGAAGCGCGGAUAUACGAGGCGGUGAAUUGACAACGAUAAAGAUCCAAGUCAUGCAUCGUGACUGUCCUCUUGACUGCAAAGUCUAUGUCGGGAAUCUGGGGAACAAUGGAAACAAGACGGAGUUGGAAAGGUCAUUUGGCUACUAUGGUCCUCUCCGCAGUGUUUGGGUCGCCAGGAACCCUCCAGGCUUCGCCUUCGUAGAAUUUGAAGAUACCAGAGAUGCAACAGAUGCAGUGCGUGAGCUUGACGGAAGGACGUUGUGUGGUUGCCGGGUUCGAGUAGAGCUGUCCAAUGGAGAGAAACGCAGUCGCACCCGUGGUGCCCCCCCUCCAUGGAGCAGGCGUCCUCGAGACAGAGAUGACAACAGGCGCCGUAGCCCACAAGCCAAACGAAGAUCCCCACGCAAGAGGAGCUUCAGCCGCAGUCGAAGCAGCACUAUGUGCUCCACACGCCAGCACGGGCAGUGAGCGGCUGUUCAGCUCUGCAUCUCACAACUUGGAUGAGAAGAGAAAUAGACUGAGCUGCAACAAGGCAGAGAUGCUCACAGUAUCUUAAGUCUAUCUCCAGAGACAGGAGGAGGGAGAAGUCUCUCUCCCGGGACAGGAACCACAAACCUUCACGGUCUUUCUCACGCUCAAGGAGCCGCUCCAGGUCUAACGACAGAAAGUAGAGGAACGUCUGUCAGGUAUAAAGGGAGCUGAAGAUGAACGGUUGUACAGGCUUGCCUGUUUCAAAAUGAUGGAAUUCAACAUGGCUGUGUGGCCAUUUUUGUGUUGGAUUUUUAAACAAUCAAGCAUUUUAGUGUCCCUCCCCUUUACGUGUUGUAAUUUUCACAGACAUUGAGUGGGUGUGUACAAGUGUGACGCCACAUCUAAGUCCAUGUUGUCGGUCCUGAAGCGUUGCGCCACCCAGCAUUCCAGUUCACAAGUUUUUGUCAAUGAAUGUACUGUGUAGUUUGACAUAGUGAGUAGUUCCAAUGCCAGCAUUUUUUUUACGUAAGGAUUGGGAUGAUUUCUAAGAGAGUCCCUCCUUUUGAUUGUCUGUAACACCAACCUGUUUUCAACGUGCUACUUCUCCUUCUUCACACUGGAGGUUUCCAUCUGUUAAUGGUUGGUUGUUUGUUAUAAACGCACUCACACAUUGAAGAUGCAAAACUAUGGCAUUCAUUUAGAAAAAAAAAAAGUGUAGUAUAAGACUGAAUUUUGUCUAUAAGGUUUUCCAUUAUUUUUCUUUUGUUUGAUACAAUGUGAAAUGGUCUCUCAAUUAAAGAUACCUGUUGAUUACAAAAGA